This 377-nucleotide ribosomal RNA is filed under the name uncultured bacterium. RNAcentral describes it as "bacterial SSU rRNA". It matches the Rfam family "Bacterial small subunit ribosomal RNA", at positions 523 to 898 of the family's 1533-position model. The record is from RNAcentral.
AUACGUAGGGGGCGAGCGUUGUCCGGAAUUACUGGGCGUAAAGGGCGCGUAGGCGGCUUAAUAAGUCUGAUGUGAAAAUCCUGGGCUUAACCCAGGGCUUGCAUUAGAAACUGUUGAGCUUGAGGACAGGAGAGGAAAGCGGAAUUCCCAGUGUAGCGGUGAAAUGCGUAGAUAUUGGGAAGAACACCAGUGGCGAAGGCGGCUUUCUGGACUGCACCUGACGCUGAGGCGCGAAAGCCAGGGGAGCGAACGGGAUUAGAUACCCCGGUAGUCCUGGCCGUAAACGAUGGAUACUAGGUGUGGGAGGUAUCGACCCCUUCCGUGCCGCAGUUAACACAUUAAGUAUCCCGCCUGGGGAGUACGGCCGCAAGGCUGAA